This is a non-coding RNA of Homo sapiens (human), 69 nucleotides long. The record is from the annotation of a RefSeq genome assembly. Lineage: Eukaryota; Metazoa; Chordata; Mammalia; Primates; Hominidae.
CUAAUGCUGGUGGUACUAGCUAUGGAAAGCUGACAUUUGGACAAGGGACCAUCUUGACUGUCCAUCCAA